UUUGACCAGUGUACCUAGUCAUCCACUUUCUGUAGAGGGAAGUGGCUUGAGGUAAAGUAUAUAUCAACUCAUUGGUAGUGGUGAAUAGCUUGGUUGAAUUUCUUAGGGUCCUGGAAAAAUAAAGCCUGAAAAAAUCAGGGACCAAGUGGUAUGGGGAAGAAGCAUAUGGAUUUGCACUAACCAUGUCUCAUUAUUCUGUAUUUUUGAUGUUUUGACAUCUUGGUCUGACCCUAGGAUGACUACCCCUCCUAGGGCUAGCUAUUUCCUGGAGAUAGCAAACAACUCACCUGCAACUGCACCUUUAAUGUAUAAACCAACCACCUCCUCUAUCAGGCUCUGACAUUCUGGGCCACUGUGCCUCUGCCCUAAUCACUCCAGAGCCAGGUACAAGACUACUAGAGAUAGUCCCUAAACUCCAGAGUCUGCUGUAAUUAUUCAAACUAGCCAGUCCCAAACAUCCUUAUCCUGUCUUAGUUACUCUUCCCCACAGAAACCACAAUAAAAUAUCUUGCCAUUUUCCCCCUCUCCCUCUGCCUCCUGAUUGACCAUGGUGCUUCCCUGUGUGACUCCCCGUGGUAUGGACUGCAACCUCCUCCUGGGAUCUAAUGACCAGAAGAGUCCUCUAGUGACAAUGUUGAAAUAUGAUGAAUCCUGUAACAUGAUAAUAGAAGAAUUUAUUUACCAGAAUGCCUCUGAGGAAGACAUCACCUUUUCUAAUGAGGAACAGUGAUUGUCCAUUCCUCAUAUAUGCCCUGCAUUUUCUCACCUCAAGGAUUUUGAUCAAUGUGAACUCUAUAUGUGGAAUGUCCUUUUCAUCUCUUUUAUACGUGGGACGCCUACCACAGCAUGGCUGCCAAGCAG
RNAcentral lists this long non-coding RNA (861 nucleotides) under Equus asinus (donkey). RNAcentral's name for it is "lncRNA (ENSEASG00005036742.1)". The record is from RNAcentral. Lineage: Eukaryota; Metazoa; Chordata; Mammalia; Perissodactyla; Equidae.